Molecule: ribosomal RNA, 253 nt
Filed under: uncultured bacterium
Lineage: Bacteria
Description: partial 16S ribosomal RNA
Rfam family: Bacterial small subunit ribosomal RNA
Source: RNAcentral
CACGUAGGGCGCAAGCGUUGUCCGGAAUUAUUGGGCGUAAAGGGCUCGUAGGCGGUUUGUCGCGUCGGGAGUGAAAACUCAGGGCUUAACCCUGAGCCUGCUUCCGAUACGGGCAGACUAGAGGUAUGCAGGGGAGAACGGAAUUCCUGGUGUAGCGGUGAAAUGCGCAGAUAUCAGGAGGAACACCGGUGGCGAAGGCGGUUCUCUGGGCAUUACCUGACGCUGAGGAGCGAAAGUGUGGGGAGCGAACAGG